RNAcentral lists this non-coding RNA (30 nucleotides) under Mus musculus (house mouse). The record is from RNAcentral. Lineage: Eukaryota; Metazoa; Chordata; Mammalia; Rodentia; Muridae.
UGUCUCAACUUUCGAGUAUUGCCAGUUCCC